This is a long non-coding RNA of Pollicipes pollicipes, 315 nucleotides long. RefSeq lists it as uncharacterized. The record is from RefSeq and is a predicted model, not a curated record. Lineage: Eukaryota; Metazoa; Arthropoda; Thecostraca; Pollicipedomorpha; Pollicipedidae. The transcript has 3 exons.
CGACGCCGCACUCCUGCCCACCCUGCUGGUGGCUGUGCGGUCGCCCCUGGCGCAGGUCCGCCGGGCGGCGAUGGAGUGUGUGGAGAAGGUGUCGGCGGCGAAGGGCGACCAAGGCCAAGCCGGUGCCACUGCUGCCGCUGGCCGGCCGGCUGGUCGCCUACCGCCAGGAGAUCAUCGCCGACGCCGAAGCCGUGGAGCGCUGCCUGGCCGACGGAGACCGUGACUGGCUGCCGCACCUGGUGGAGGUUGUGGUGUCGGAGGUUGUACCGGACCCGGUGCGCUCGUCGCUGGCCGCCCUGCUUCCUCCCCUGGCGG